CAGGACGAACGCUGGCGGCGUGCCUAAUACAUGCAAGUCGAACGGUCUUUCUAUGGAAGCUUGCUUCCACUAGAGAAGAUAGUGGCGAACGGGUGAGUAACACGUGGGUAACCUGCCCAUAAGAGGGGGAUAACAUCCGGAAACGGGUGCUAAUACCGCAUAGUUUUCUUGAUCGCAUGAUCGGGAAAGGAAAGACGGCCUUUGUGCUGUCGCUUAUGGAUGGACCCGCGGCGUAUUAGUUAGUUGGUGAGGUAAUGGCUCACCAAGACGAUGAUACGUAGCCGACCUGAGAGGGUGAUCGGCCACAUUGGGACUGAGACACGGCCCAAACUCCUACGGGAGGCAGCAGUAGGGAAUCUUCCGCAAUGGACGAAAGUCUGACGGAGCAACGCCGCGUGAGUGAAGAAAAGGGUUUUCGGAUCGUAAAACUCUGUUGUCAGAGAAGAACAAGUUGGAGAGUAACUGCUCCAGCCUUGACGGUAUCUGACCAGAAAGCCACGGCUAACUACGUGCCAGCCGCCGC
Molecule: ribosomal RNA, 523 nt
Filed under: uncultured bacterium
Lineage: Bacteria
Description: bacterial SSU rRNA
Rfam family: Bacterial small subunit ribosomal RNA
Source: RNAcentral